Molecule: ribosomal RNA, 253 nt
Filed under: uncultured bacterium
Lineage: Bacteria
Description: partial 16S ribosomal RNA
Rfam family: Bacterial small subunit ribosomal RNA
Source: RNAcentral
UACGUAGGGGGCAAGCGUUGUCCGGAUUUAUUGGGCGUAAAGAGCGUGUAGGCGGCCGUACAGGUCAGCUGUGAAAACUCGAGGCUCAACCUCGAGACGUCGGUUGAAACCGUACGGCUAGAGUCCGGAAGAGGAGAGUGGAAUUCCCAGUGUAGAGGUGAAAUUCGUAGAUAUUGGGAAGAACACCGGUGGCGAAGGCGGCUCACUGGACCGUUACUGACGCUCAGGCGCGACAGCGUGGGGAUCAAACAGG